AACGUAGGAGACAAACGUUAUCCGGAGUUACUGGGCGUAAAGGGCGUGUAGGCGGUUUGUUAAGUCUGGCGUGAAAGCUCUCGGCUAAACCGGGAGAGGUCGUUGGAUACUGGCAGACUAGAGGACGGUAGAGGCGUGUGGAAUUCCUGGUGUAGCGGUGGAAUGCGCAGAUAUCAGGAGGAACACCAAUAGCGAAGGCAGCUCGCUGGGACGGUACUGACACUAAGGCGCGAAAGCGUGGGGAGCGAACAGG
RNAcentral lists this ribosomal RNA (253 nucleotides) under uncultured bacterium. Its description in RNAcentral is "partial 16S ribosomal RNA". It matches the Rfam family "Bacterial small subunit ribosomal RNA", at positions 524 to 776 of the family's 1533-position model. The record is from RNAcentral.